This 1172-nucleotide long non-coding RNA is filed under the name Chrysemys picta bellii (western painted turtle). RNAcentral describes it as "lncRNA (ENSCPBG00000006335.1)". The record is from RNAcentral. Lineage: Eukaryota; Metazoa; Chordata; Testudines; Emydidae.
AGCCCCUGGGGCCGCCGCCCCUGCAGGAGGGCCCCGGGACUCCCCUGCUUGACCCCGGGCUAGCGCAGCUGCCAGCUCGGCUCCUGGAAGAUGCCUCCGCCCCCCGCCGUACCCCCACCCCGUUAUUGCGUGUCUCAGACCUGGCUCUGCUGAGGAACGUGCUUUCUGCACAGCAGAGGCUGGGGGGAGUUCCUGUCGCGGCUCCUUGCGAUCCAAGGCAGGAGAGGCUUUCCCGGCCACAGGGAAUCUCCUCUCAGGAGCGGGGCAGGGAGCCUCAGCUCGUCGUGGAAACUGGGAGCGGUUUGGUUUUCCCGGGCACCAGAAGUUCAGUCCAGGAUCAGCAGCAUCCUUCUUCUCCCAGCCUCUGAUCUGAGCGUCAGCCAUUGGCACCAGGCCGGCGCAGUUAGUGAUUCCUUGCCAGGGAAAUCCACCAAAGGAAACGUUGGGAAAUGGAAAUCCCAUUCCCCACACGAAGCACCUCUAGGGCUAAAGCAAACCGUCCCCAGUGAAUCAUGCGGUCUUCCUGCCCUCAGACGUGGUUUCUCUGUCUGCAUGGAGGCUGUGGGAGUUUCUGUAGGGGAAGCAGAUUGCAGACCUAGUAAAGUAAAGGGAUCAGAUGGGAGGGCCUAAGGGGCUCACGUCCAAUUGGCAAGAGGGCAAGCUAUCCAUUCUACCACUACCAGGUAGGAAGCUCUAAGCAGAGCGCUGCAAUUUUAGGUUACAAAAAGCACACAUGAAUUGUUGAGUUCAAACACUUAGAAAAUUUGUCUGUGCUUUCAACAGUUACUUAAGGGUAGGCACAUGUUUUUAAUCAUAAAAGCUACUUUCAGUGAAAGAUUUGUAGGAGAAACAACUCACAGCCUCUAAGGUAUGCAAAGGAAAUGGAUCCUAAGUGCAUCACUCUGCACCCAGGAACUACAACUGGGAGACCCUAACAUGGAAACAUGAAAAGAAAUAUCUUUCUUUCAGAGUUGGCUGUUGUGAUAGACCCAGUAACAAAUGACAGAGGCAAAUAGAAUAGAAAAGACAAGACCCUGAUCUAUAGAAAUGGGGCACAAACCAUCUGUAAGUCUCAAACUGAAGGGGAGAGCCAAAUCACUGGGGCUUUAGUCUUGCCUCUAUCCAAAGGGAACAACAAAAUAAAAGUGAACAUUUAAAGUAAUAGUUGAUCA